AUUGAACGCUGGCGGCAGGCUUAACACAUGCAAGUCGAACGAUGAUUAUCUAGCUUGCUAGAUAUGAUUAGUGGCGGACGGGUGAGUAACAUUUAGGAAUCUGCCUAGUAGUGGGGGAUAGCUCGGGGAAACUCGAAUUAAUACCGCAUACGACCUACGGGUGAAAGGGGGCGCAAGCUCUUGCUAUUAGAUGAGCCUAAAUCAGAUUAGCUAGUUGGUGGGGUAAAGGCCCACCAAGGCGACGAUCUGUAACUGGUCUGAGAGGAUGAUCAGUCACACCGGAACUGAGACACGGUCCGGACUCCUACGGGAGGCAGCAGUGGGGAAUAUUGGACAAUGGGGGCAACCCUGAUCCAGCCAUGCCGCGUGUGUGAAGAAGGCCUUUUGGUUGUAAAGCACUUUAAGCAGGGAGGAGAGGCUAAUGGUUAAUACCCAUUAGAUUAGACGUUACCUGCAGAAUAAGCACCGGCUAACUCUGUGCCAGCAGCCGCGGUAAUACAGAGGGUGCGAGCGUUUAUCGGAAUUACUGGGCGUAAAGCGAGUGUAGGUGGCUCAUUAAGUCACAUGUGAAAUCCCCGGGCUUAACCUGGGAACUGCAUGUGAUACUGGUGGUGCUAGAAUAUGUGAGAGGGAAGUAGAAUUCCAGGUGUAGCGGUGAGAUGCGUAGAGAUCUGGAGGAAUACCGAUGGCGAAGGCAGCUUCCUGGCAUAAUAUUGACACUGAGAUUCGAAAGCGUGGGUAGCAAACAGGAUUAGAUACCCUGGUAGUCCACGCCGUAAACGAUGUCUACUAGCCGUUGGGGUCCUUGAGACUUUAGUGGCGCAGUUAACGCGAUAAGUAGACCGCCUGGGGAGUACGGCCGCAAGGUUAAAACUCAAAUGAAUUGACGGGGGCCCGCACAAGCGGUGGAGCAUGUGGUUUAAUUCGAUGCAACGCGAAGAACCUUACCUGGUCUUGACAUAGUGAGAAUCCUGCAGAGAUGCGGGAGUGCCUUCGGGAAUUCACAUACAGGUGCUGCAUGGCUGUCGUCAGCUCGUGUCGUGAGAUGUUGGGUUAAGUCCCGCAACGAGCGCAACCCUUUUCCUUAUUUGCCAGCGGGUUAAGCCGGGAACUUUAAGGAUACUGCCAGUGACAAACUGGAGGAAGGCGGGGACGACGUCAAGUCAUCAUGGCCCUUACGACCAGGGCUACACACGUGCUACAAUGGUAGGUACAGAGGGUUGCUACACAGCGAUGUGAUGCUAAUCUCAAAAAGCCUAUCGUAGUCCGGAUUGGAGUCUGCAACUCGACUCCAUGAAGUCGGAAUCGCUAGUAAUCGCAGAUCAGAAUGCUGCGGUGAAUACGUUCCCGGGCCU
This 1355-nucleotide ribosomal RNA is filed under the name uncultured bacterium. RNAcentral describes it as "bacterial SSU rRNA". It matches the Rfam family "Bacterial small subunit ribosomal RNA", at positions 28 to 1381 of the family's 1533-position model. The record is from RNAcentral.